UACGAACCGUCCAAACGUUAUUCGGAAUCACUGGGCUUACAGAGUUCGUAGGCGGUCCCAUAAGUUAGGUGUGAAAUCCCUCGGCUCAACCGAGGAACUGCGCUUAAAACUGUGUGACUCGAGGGAGAUAGAGGAAAGCGGAACUGAUGGUGGAGCGGUGAAAUGCGUUGAUAUCAUCAGGAACACCGGUGGCGAAGGCGGCUUUCUGGGUCUUACCUGACGCUGAGGAACGAAAGCCAGGGGAGCGAACGGG
This 253-nucleotide ribosomal RNA is filed under the name uncultured bacterium. Its description in RNAcentral is "partial 16S ribosomal RNA". It matches the Rfam family "Bacterial small subunit ribosomal RNA", at positions 524 to 776 of the family's 1533-position model. The record is from RNAcentral.